UACGUAGGGAGCAAGCGUUAUCCGGAAUUAUUGGGCGUAAAGCGUGCGUAGGCGGUUCUGUAAGUUAGGUGUGAAAGUUGUCGGCUCAACCGGCAAUUGCGCUUAAUACUGCAGAUCUAGAGGACAAGAGAGGAAAGUGGAACUCACAGUGUAGCGGUGAAAUGCGUAGAUAUUGUGAGGAACACCAGUGGCGAAGGCGGCUUUCUGGAUUGUUUCUGACGCUGAGGUACGAAAGCGUGGGUAGCGAACGGG
RNAcentral lists this ribosomal RNA (252 nucleotides) under uncultured bacterium. RNAcentral's name for it is "partial 16S ribosomal RNA". It matches the Rfam family "Bacterial small subunit ribosomal RNA", at positions 524 to 776 of the family's 1533-position model. The record is from RNAcentral.